UUCGCCCCGCACAAUUGCCGUCGCCAUGCACGUCCAAGACACGUAAUAUUAUUCAAUUAGGACUAACCCAAUAAGAUUAAGGGGGUACUAGUCGUAUCAUCUCGCUGUCCCUGUCUGUUCGUCACUCUCAGUCACGCUAAUCUCGCUCGUUUCUCCCUCUCUCUCUCUCUCUCCCUCUGAGCAUCUUCGUCAUCUACAUGUAGACCGUCUCGACUCGACCGUGCAAGAAGGAAAAGGAACAACGUCCAGGCAUCUGAUCGGGAAAAGAAGUCGUAUCUCAAGAAGCUUGGGUGCGUUUCUAGUUCUGGAUCGAUGAGCCUCGUCAACACUCAGCAAAAUUACUCCGCUGUUCGCACCCUCUCGGUCUCAGCUCCUUCCUCCUCCUCCUCCUCCUCAAUCUCCAGAUGUUCUGAAGGUCUUGCUCCUUCAGAUAAUGCAACUUGUGGAGCACCUGCCUGGAUUGGGAAAGGCCUCACAUGUGUUUGCUUUAAGCGAAAGGGGACAUACGAACGCAUUUGUUUUCACUUGACACCCAUACAGGAGGAAAGGCUUAAAAGAUUGAAGUGUCGUAUGAAAGUAUUCUUUGAUGCUUCUAGGCGAGAUCACCAGGAUGCUUUGAGAGCUCUCUGGUCUGCUACAUAUCCCAAUGAGGAACUACAAGGCUUAAUAUCUGAUCAAUGGAAAAAAAUGGGGUGGCAAGGGAAGGAUCCAUCCACCGAUUUCAGGGGGGCUGGAUUCAUUUCUUUAGAGAACCUGCUCUUCUUUGCAAAGACAUUUUCGAUAUCUUUCCAGCAUCUGCUGGAAAAGCAAGGAGGAAAGCGAGCAGCAUGGGAGUACCCAUUUGCUGUUGCUGGUGUCAAUAUUACAUUCAUGAUCAUGCAAAUGCUUGAUCUCGAUGCAUGUUCACUGAUAAGACAUGGACCGCUCAUUUAUUUGCAGCAAAACCCAGGACAUUUAUUAGAGGAGUGUUUCUGCAGAUGUUGUCAGAGGAUCAGUGGGCAUUUGAUUUGCUAUAUUGCGUGGCUUUCAUGAUUAUGGACAAACAAUGGCUGGAAAGAAACGCGACAUACAUGGAGUUCAAUGAUGUUCUGAAGUCUACUCGAGCCCAGCUAGAGAGAGAACUUCUCAUGGAAGAAGUCUUGCGAAUUGAAGAUAUGCCUUCGUAUGGCCUUCUAUGCUAGCCAAUUUCAAGGACAGGCAGUAGUUCAGGGCGAGUUGAAUUCCACGAGCCAAGUAUUUUCACCCAAGAGAAACUUCUUAUUGUGUGCUUAUACUAUUGAAACCAUCUCUUUUA
RNA transcript from Rhodamnia argentea, 1294 nucleotides. It is a transcript of the gene named ELMO domain-containing protein A, with no coding region annotated. The transcript has 9 exons. The record is from RefSeq and is a predicted model, not a curated record. Lineage: Eukaryota; Viridiplantae; Streptophyta; Magnoliopsida; Myrtales; Myrtaceae.